UAGCCAAGUCGUGUCCCCGAUCACACAGCUGUGCUAGGUGUGGUAUCUUUACUGGAACCGAUAAAUGCACCUCUGGCUCUUGAUAAUGCAAUUAUUGACUUGGUGAACAUUCUUUUCAAUUGCCAGUGGUAAAGAGGAUUAAAAGCAGUUCACAUUUAUAUGGGAAGGACAGCUCUGUAAAUGGUCUUGCUUCUUGCUGUCUGAACUCUCCUGUUCUCUGUCACAAUAGUCCUUAGGUAGCUUAUCAUCUAUAUUCCAUAUAACAUUGAUGAUGUCAUACUAGUUGGACAUGGUGAAGAAGGCCGUGCAUGUCAGAGGAUGAGCGAGAAGCCCUCAGAAGUUCUGGAGCCUGCCAUAUCAGUGACAUUCUCAGGGGUGCAGCGUUUGAGGGCAAGCCAGGGACAAGUUAUUGCAUCCUGCAUCCUUACAAGGAAGAAAGAGGCACAGCAUUGAGGCACCUCUGUGUUUUGGAGUCAGCAUGCACCGCGCUAGAGGAUACCUCUCUGACCCCUUUAUUGGAGGAGUUGGUGAACAGCAGGAUGGAUGGGAUGUCAGUCAGCUGUGCCCCUGGCUACCCCUGUGCUUGAACAGUGGACUGUGAGUGGCGGCGUCAUGCAGAAGGAGCACAGGGUCCCAGGCCAGCAUCACUAUCCAGGAGCUUCAGGCAUGCUCCGUGUACCAACAUGGGAUCACGAAUCACAUCGCCUCAGGCCAAGAAAGCCAUUUUAUAGCGAAAGAGCCUUAGGAUCUGCUGGAUUAGAGCCUGUUUCCCAGGUAGGAACGCUUCCACGAGGGCACUCCUGCUGGUUGCAGGAAGGAUACCUCUGCUGAGCCUGAAUCUGCAAAGACCACCAGGUUACUCUCAGCUCCUCAUACUGGUGGACCAGCAGGCCACAAAGGAGGGGAUACUUGAUCCUGAUAAACGGUUAUGCUUGUUUGCUGAUGGAAAUGAUCCAGAAGAGAAGGACAAGUUGACGAUUGAGAGGGUUAAUGUCAGGUAAGAAACUUGAGUGGACAUUGAGGAAAGAGCGAGGUUCAGUGGACUGGAGGUUUGUGGUGGUUUCAUGACACGUGGACUGGAGAUUUGCAGUGGUUUUAUGACACAUGGACUGGAGGUUUGUGGUGGUUUCAU
Molecule: long non-coding RNA, 1132 nt
Filed under: Homo sapiens (human)
Lineage: Eukaryota; Metazoa; Chordata; Mammalia; Primates; Hominidae
Description: non-protein coding CHKB-DT:50
Source: RNAcentral